This 883-nucleotide ribosomal RNA is filed under the name uncultured bacterium. Its description in RNAcentral is "bacterial SSU rRNA". It matches the Rfam family "Bacterial small subunit ribosomal RNA", at positions 545 to 1425 of the family's 1533-position model. The record is from RNAcentral.
UNGGAAUCACUGGGCGUAAAGGACGCGUAGGCGGAUUAUCAAGUNUCUUGUGAAAUCUAACGGCUUANCCGUUAAACUGCUUGGGAAACUGAUAAUCUAGAGUAAGGGAGAGGCAGAUGGAAUUCUUGGUGUAGGGGUAAAAUCCGUAGAGAUCAAGAAGAAUACCCAUUGCGAAAGCGAUCUGCUGGAACUUAACUGACGCUAAUGCGUGAAAGCGUGGGGAGCAANCAGGAUUAGAUACCCUGGUAGUCCACGCCCUAAACGAUGUAUACUAGUUGUUGCUUCGCUAGUCGAGGCAGUAAUGCACCUAACGGAUUAAGUAUACCGCCUGGGGAGUACGGUCGCAAGAUUAAAACUCAAAGGAAUAGACGGGGACCCGCACAAGCGGUGGAGCAUGUGGUUUAAUUCGAAGAUACGCGAAGAACCUUACCCGGACUUGAUAUCUAACAAAUCAUCCAGAGAUGGAAGAGUGUCUGCUUGCAGAAAUGUUAAGACAGGUGCUGCACGGCUGUCGUCAGCUCGUGUCGUGAGAUGUUGGGUUAAGUCCCGCAACGAGCGCAACCCACGUCAUUAGUUGCUAACGGUUCGGCCGAGCACUCUAAUGAGACUGCCUUCGCAAGGAGGAGGAAGGUGUGGACGACGUCAAGUCAUCAUGGCCCUUAUGUCCGGGGCGACACACGUGCUACAAUGGCGUAUACAAUGAGACGCAAUAUCGCGAGAUGGAGCAAAUCUAUAAAAUACGUCCCAGUUCGGAUUGGAGUCUGCAACUCGACUCCAUGAAGCCGGAAUCGCUAGUAAUCGUAGAUCAGCCAUGCUACGGUGAAUACGUUCCCGGGUCUUGUACUCACCGCCCGUCACACCAUGGGAGUUGAUUUCACUCGAA